This 253-nucleotide ribosomal RNA is filed under the name uncultured bacterium. RNAcentral's name for it is "partial 16S ribosomal RNA". It matches the Rfam family "Bacterial small subunit ribosomal RNA", at positions 524 to 776 of the family's 1533-position model. The record is from RNAcentral.
UACGGAGGGUGCAAGCGUUAUUCGGAUUUAUUGGGCGUAAAGGGCGUGUAGGUGGUCUGAUAAGUCAGGUGUGAAAGCCCCUGGCUCAACCAGGGAAGUGCAUUUGAAACUAUCAGACUUGAGUACGGGAGGGGGAAGUGGAAUUCCUGGUGUAGAGGUGAAAUUCGUAGAUAUCAGGAGGAAUACCGGUGGCGAAGGCGACUUCCUGGACCGAUACUGACACUGAGAAGCGAAAGCGUGGGGAGCAAACAGG